This 29-nucleotide non-coding RNA is filed under the name Cricetulus griseus (Chinese hamster). Lineage: Eukaryota; Metazoa; Chordata; Mammalia; Rodentia; Cricetidae. The record is from RNAcentral.
AAAAUGGGGUUCAGCUCUGGACAGAGGAU